GUUCGUGGUCAGUAACUGGGGUUAAGAGAGAGAAAGAGAGCGCAGGGGAAAAUGUCGGUGCGUUGGUGGGGUCCGUCGUGCGACUAGCGACUUUCGCCCACUGUUUCUCUCGUGAUUUUGUCGAACAUACUUUUUUUUUUAUUUUUCCGUUUCUCACGCGAGAACGAGUCGCGAAAAAUUGGUUGAUUUGUUUGAGUGUUCGCUAAAAGGUGGAUUGAAAAGAUCUAAAUUGACGGGUUUUUUGCGUCGAGAAUUUUUCUGUUAUACACGCGCGUGAGAGAGGAGCCAACAGCCAAAGCCUUCGAUCGUUAUAAAACCUAUAUACAUAUACACAUACACGUAUAUAUGUAUAUAUAUACCUUAACCAUAUAUAUAAAUAUAUAUUAGUGUGUGUUGUGCGUUCCGUGCGUUCGGGGAGCGCGCGGUGUUUUGUGACCAAACGGCCGUACAGAUCUAAGAAAUUUCCAACGAGCCCGAGCAUAGAGACACCGUGUACAAAAGAGACGAGAAAGCAUGGCGGCCCUCGGAAUACUCGGAAAAGUCGAGUUCGUUGUGGGCGGCAAGUACAGAUUAAUGAGAAAAAUUGGCUCCGGAUCUUUCGGUGAUAUUUAUCUUGGCAUCAAUAUUACAAAUGGCGAGGAAGUCGCAGUUAAGGUGGAAAGCGUCAGAGCACGUCAUCCUCAGCUGCUCUAUGAAUCGAAGCUGUACAAGAUAUUGGCGGGUGGUAUUGGAAUACCUCAUAUGCGCUGGUAUGGCCAAGAACGAGAAUGGAACGUCUUGGUUAUGGAGUUACUCGGCCCCUCGCUUGAGGAUUUGUUCACCUUUUGUUCCCGGAGAUUCACCAUCAAGACCGUUCUCAUGUUGGCAGAUCAAAUGAUCGGCAGGAUCGAAUUUGUACAUUGCAAACACUUUAUACACAGAGAUAUCAAACCCGACAACUUUUUGAUGGGUAUCGGUCGUCACUGUAACAAGCUCUUCAUCAUCGACUUCGGUUUAGCCAAGAAAUACCGGGAUGGACGUACGCGACUUCACAUAAUGUAUCGCGAGGAUAAAAAUUUAACCGGAACAGCCAGGUACGCAUCGAUAAACGCCCACCUUGGUAUCGAACAAAGUCGUCGGGAUGACAUGGAGUCGCUUGGUUACGUUCUCAUGUACUUCAACCGAGGUUCGCUGCCCUGGCAAGGUCUCAAAGCUGCAACCAAGAAACAAAAAUACGAGAAAAUUAGCGAGAAGAAAAUGUCCACCCCCGUUGACAUAUUGUGCAGGGGAUUCCCCGCGGAGUUCGCGAUGUACAUAAAUUACACAAAGGGAAUGCGUUUCGAGGAAAGUCCCGAUUACAUGUAUCUUCGUCAACUCUUUCGAAUUCUUUUUGGUACGCUCAAUCAUCGGUACGAUUACACGUUUGAUUGGACGAUGCUUAAGCAAAAAAUGUUGCCGAGUGGCGUUACGGUACCGCAGACUUCACCGACCACGGGACAACAAGGUAUAGCAGCAGCAGGUGAGGCCGCAACGAAAAAGAAUGCUUGCGGUAGUGUGACUCGGCAGGCGGUCAACAACACUUCCAAGAAAGGUUAGGGUUAAUCUUCUGUCAUCUGUCCGUCCGAUGAAAAAAGAACGAAAGAGAUGAAUGAGAAAAGAAAAAUGAAAAAAACGUAACAGACGAAAAGAAAAGAGAAAUAACUCCUUAAUCCCUUGUCGAAUCGUCACCGAAUAAUUUCGCCCGCAAGGUCAUUAACCACCACCGCCAUCGCUAGCAAAAUCAAGCCAACCAACAAAAUACCUCCUCGUACAUCGCCUGUACUUUCAUGUAAUGUCAACGUGGUGGUGGCUAUCGAAAGAUAUACGAAAACCAACAAAAUAUGGCGUUUACAAAACACCAACAACCACAAAGAACAAUAACAAACAGAACAGAAAAUUUCAUCGACUUAAUAAAGAAAGUGUCCACCAAUCCCCGUCGUGUUCCAUGUCCUUUCCUCCUAACCCUUCCCGUUUGUCCAUAAUAAUUUCUUUUUUUUUUUUUUGUUUUUUUUUUGUUUCAAUAUUUUUUCCAAUUUUUAAAACGAAAAGAAAAAGAAUGGAUAACUUCCCAGCUGCGUGACAAAUGUAAAAUAUUGACGAAGGAAACGACGACAUUCGCGAUUAAAUCGAUGUAACCGAAAGCUUGGGGUUUCGAAGGAGAGUGACAACUGUCAGGAUCUUCGAUCAUCACUUACGCGCAGCCGGAAUUCUGGGAUUAAAAAUUUGUUUGCUUCGGUUAUUUGAGUGAAAGAGAAUAUGAGAGAGAGAGAGAGUGAGUGAGUGACUGAGAGAGUGAGAAAGAGAGCGAGAGUCAGGAAAGUAGUGACUGUGUGAAAGCGUGAGGGACAAUGGAAAAAACGAAAAAAAUUCGAGGACAGAAGGAAAAAGGGAAAACGCAGAGCAAGAGAGAAAGAGAGAGACAGAGUUCAGGUGAGAAUCUCGUUCUCUAUUUUUCGUCAUCCCUUUCAUUCUCUGCUUCGCAAUUCAUCGUUGAACUGCCAUUUUCUUGCGUACUCAAAAGCGCUUAAGAAUUCCUCACAAAAAUCAUUCAUUUCGACCGAAUUUUUCGAACUUCGCGCUUCCACCAUCGUCCGAUUCUUUUUUACUCGAGGGAGGGGGGAGGGAGGAAAAAAUACACAAAAAUUCGAAUUUCUUUCGUAGCAGUUUCAUCGACUAUUCCUUCAUCUCUCCCAAAAUCUCGUACCUCGUACCCUCUCCUUACAUGGUGCACGAUAGACACACAUUAUACAUAACACACUCACGAAACGCUCAUAAUUAUAUGGUAUUGGGUGUUUCUACGUUGAUCAACGUUUAAACGAGGGUGGUUUCAUUUUCGUUGAAACUGUGGAAAAAAAUGAAAGGGUUAAAGUCAAAAAUGCAAUCGCUGAUUCUUCGUCAAUCGUCAGGAUAAAUAUCGCAAUGAAAAAUCGUUUGGAAACAAGUAAUUCCAGCUGGGAAAGUUUAUUUGUCCGUUGCAACAAUGAAUUUCCGUAUGACAAGUAGCACAAUUUGGAAAACACGAACGGAUUAGUAUUUCGAAUGAGGUUGGAAUUGGGCAAACGAUUUUCAUCGUCAGGCACAGAUGAAAAUAGAUUUUAACUGAAUUUUAAAGCGCCUAGAUCGUUUGGGUUGCCUGACGGUGCGAAUUUAUCGUGACGAAUGAAAUAAUUGACCUGGACUCCGAAUGAGCAGUGAAGAAAAAUCGUCAUUGCCAAUGAACUAAAGCAUCGAACCGCGAUCAGCUUGAAAAUACUAACAAACUUAACAUCAUGAUAAAAUAAGAAAGAAAAGGUGUGAAAACUGAAGUGAAGGAAGGAGUGAAGUUCAUGCAGCGGUCAGCAGCUCACUUAUUUUCUAAUCAAAAACGUUGCUUCGUAUCUGUUACAGGUGCACCCUAAAAAAAUCGAUUCGUACUGUACGUGACAAAACAAAAGCACCAAUAAUCCCGAAAGUUCUGGAGUAUCUCGAAAACAAAUUUAAAAAACAAAACGAACUCGAAUGAAUACAAACAAACAAACAAAUAGUUCAACACGAAACACCGCCGGAGCAAAAAUACGCUAAAAGGAAAAAAAAAACUAAAUGAUUUGAAAACAAGAAACAUUUGUGUACCAGACUCUGAAAGUAAAAGGAAAAAAGAAAAAAUCAUUAUCUCCGACUGAGAAAAAGAAGACAAAACGAGAGCAAGCUGAACAUAUAUCACACACAUACUAUUAAUAAUUAUAAACAUGUGGAAACGAAGGACGAACCCUCGAAUUCGAAAAUAUGACGUUGUGCCAGAAUUUUUCUUUUUUCUAUUGUGCACUGAAAAUACGCAAACGUCCUCGUCUCGAAGUUUCCUCUCAUUCGCUCUCGCUCUCUUUCUCUCUCUCUCUCUCUCUCUCUCUCUCUCUCUCUCUCUCUCUCUCUUACUUUCAUACUCUCUCAUGAAUUUUACAAGGGUACAUAGUAAUUCAUAUUGCCGUAUAAAAACUUCAUUUGUCAAUCGUGACUCGCGUUCUUAGUUUCAUUAUUAUAUACGAAUAACUAUAAUAUGUUUAAAGAGACAAGAAAAAUGGAGGAUAAUUUGGAUAUAAGAAAAGUAUGUUUUUUUUCUUAAUUUUAUUUCUUUUGUUUUUCCGUCAUAUGUACCGAAGAUUCUCGAUCUCGUUGUGGUAAAUGUGCGCGCGCGUCAUCAAAGUCAAGUAUGGCAAGUGAUAUAUACAUGAAAUAAAUAGUAAAAAAAAAGGAGAAAUAAUAAUCAUCAAGUUGAAUUUUAGAAAAAAUUAUAUUUUUUAUCCUUCUUUCACUCACGACCGAUUCAAAUUCAAUUUACGAGAUUAAGGCUCCCACAAUGUUUCGAGCAACAAAACAGGCCUUCAUCACAGUGUGGGGCUUGAGCUCAGUUUGCUUCGUCAGAAAUAAAAAGAGCUCCACCAGGCUCCCUUUCAACUUUCGUUAUUAAAAAUUAUGUUGAAUUCUUUGCGAUAUUUUACAAAAAUCCAACUCUGAACGAGCGACGUUUCGGAGUUAUUUUUUCGCUAUUCUCUCGUCAUUAUUCAUCUUCCGCGGGUUCAUCGUUACGCCACGAUUCCUAACUCCUAUAUAAUCCAUAUUAAUAUUAUUACAAUUUGUUUUAUUUCCAUUUUUAUUUUUCAUUCUUCUUUCGCUUAUGUAUGCUACUAUAUAUAUAUGAUCAUAAACAAAAAAAACACAGAAACACCUCCACACAACGACGGGGAUACCGCGUUCAUUGAAUAUGAAAACGCUGAGAGAAUGAAUUUUAAAAAAAAAAAAAAAAAAAAAAAGAAACGGGGCUAUUCGUAGCGAUCGAAAUACGAAAAUGAUGCGAACGUUGUUAUGUGGACGAAGAAAUGAAAAGUUUAAAAUGAUGAGAUGAGAAAAAAAAAUAUUGAAAAGAAGAUAACAAACGGAUGAUAAAAUGUCGCAGUAAAUAUAUAUGUGAAGAACCAUUGAGUGAUGCUGUGCUUGAAUGAAUUGGUACGCGUCUCUGCUGCGUGUUUGCCCGCGCGAAUGCGACUACGCAUUAAUAAUUAUCGUAUUAAGGAAAUUUUAAAAGUAAGAACAAAACAAAAAAUACAAUUAAACGAAAAAAAUUUCAAAUAUAAAUAAAAUAACGAGGGGGAAAAAAAAGAAAAAAAAAACAAAAAAAGAAAACCGAAAAGAAAAGAAACCACACAACAAAUACAAGUAAUGAACAAUGAAAUAAUUGAUAAUUGAUAAAUAUGAUGGAAUACAUACGAGUGUGCGUGUGAAUUUGUGACUGCCGGAGUGAAUGCGUGUAUCAAGUAAAUUAAUAAAAUAAUUAUACAUGCACAUGCUAUUGUCUAGUAUAUUAUACAUAUAAAUAUAUAUAUAUAUAUACAUAUAAACACGUAUGCAUAUGUAUAUAUACGUACAUAUUAAUAUUAUUUCUAUUAUUAUGAAGAAAAAAAAGGAAAAAACAAACAAGCAAACAAAUGUUACAGUGACGAAAGGGGAAACGAAAGAAUAAUUUACUCGUUAUUUCACAAAAUACUUCAUCGAUGAUUACGUCAAUCGUUCAUUGCUCUCAUCCUAUACUCUUUCCUAAUACCACCCUUUUCUUCUUCAGAAAUAAAAAGGAUGAAACAUUAAACAA
Venturia canescens is the source of this 5635-nucleotide RNA transcript. It is a transcript of the gene named casein kinase I-like, with no coding region annotated. The record is from RefSeq and is a predicted model, not a curated record. Lineage: Eukaryota; Metazoa; Arthropoda; Insecta; Hymenoptera; Ichneumonidae. The transcript has 7 exons.